GUACCUUUCUCGGCCUUUUGACUAAGAUCAAGUGUAAUAUCUUAUCAAUUUAAUAUUUGAUGUGUACCAUCGGUCCAUAUGAUAUUAAAUUUAUUUUUUGAGGGGAAAGACUCGACAAAGUAGCUUGCUACUUGGGUGUUCAUGCGUCGCCUUUGUGUUGCACUAUUGCAUUGGCCAGGUGCACCCCAC
Salvia splendens (bonfire salvia) is the source of this 189-nucleotide small nuclear RNA. RefSeq annotates it as U2 spliceosomal RNA. The transcript has a single exon. Lineage: Eukaryota; Viridiplantae; Streptophyta; Magnoliopsida; Lamiales; Lamiaceae. The record is from RefSeq and is a predicted model, not a curated record.